RNAcentral lists this ribosomal RNA (565 nucleotides) under Dehalococcoidia bacterium. RNAcentral's name for it is "bacterial SSU rRNA". It matches the Rfam family "Archaeal small subunit ribosomal RNA", at positions 591 to 1138 of the family's 1478-position model. Lineage: Bacteria; Bacillati; Chloroflexota; Dehalococcoidia. The record is from RNAcentral.
GCUAGGGAGUGGGAGAGGUAGACGGUACUCGGUAGGAAGGGGUAAAAUCCUUUGAUCUAUCGAUGACCACCUGUGGCGAAGGCGGUCUACCAGAACACGUUCGACGGUGAGGGAUGAAAGCUGGGGGAGCAAACCGGAUUAGAUACCCGGGUAGUCCCAGCUGUAAACGAUGCAGACUCGAUGAUGCAUUGGCAUAUAGCCAGUGCAGUGUCGCAGGGAAGCCGUUAAGUCUGCCGCCUGGGAAGUACGUACGCAAGUAUGAAACUUAAAGGAAUUGGCGGNNNNNNNNNNUGGCGGGGGAGCACCACAAGGGGUGAAGCCUGCGGUUCAAUUGGAGUCAACGCCAGAAAUCUUACCCGGAGAGACAGCAGAAUGAAGGUCAAGCUGAAGACUUUACCAGACAAGCUGAGAGGUGGUGCAUGGCCGUCGCCAGCUCGUGCCGUGAGAUGUCCUGUUAAGUCAGGUAACGAGCGAGAUCCCUGCCACUAGUUGCUAUCAUUAUUCUCAGGAAUAGUGGGGCGAAUUAGUGGGACCGCUGUAGUAAUAUGGAGGAAGGAAGGGGCCA